GAUGAACGCUGGCGGCGUGCCUAAUACAUGCAAGUCGAGCGAACGGACGAGAAGCUUGCUUCUCUGAUGUUAGCGGCGGACGGGUGAGUAACACGUGGAUAACCUACCUAUAAGACUGGGAUAACUUCGGGAAACCGUAGCUAAUACCGGAUAAUAUUUUGAACCGCAUGGUUCAAAAGUGAAAGACGGUCUUGCUGUCACUUAUAGAUGGAUCCGCGCUGCAUUAGAUAGUUGGUAAGGUAACGGCUUACCAAGGCAACGAUGCAUAGCCGACCUGAGAGGGUGAUCGGCCACACUGGAACUGAGACACGGUCCAGACUCCUACGGGAGGCAGCAGUAGGGAAUCUUCCGCAAUGGGCGAAAGCCUGACGGAGCAACGCCGCGUGAGUGAUGAAGGUCUUCGGAUCGUAAAACUCUGUUAUUGGGGAAGAACAUAUGUGUAAGUAACUGUGCACAUCUUGACGGUACCUAAUCAGAAAGCCACGGCUAACUACGUG
This 497-nucleotide ribosomal RNA is filed under the name uncultured bacterium. RNAcentral describes it as "partial 16S ribosomal RNA". It matches the Rfam family "Bacterial small subunit ribosomal RNA", at positions 28 to 507 of the family's 1533-position model. The record is from RNAcentral.